RNAcentral lists this ribosomal RNA (253 nucleotides) under uncultured bacterium. Its description in RNAcentral is "partial 16S ribosomal RNA". It matches the Rfam family "Bacterial small subunit ribosomal RNA", at positions 524 to 776 of the family's 1533-position model. The record is from RNAcentral.
UACGAAGGUGGCUAGCGUUGUUCGGAUUUAUUGGGCGUAAAGGGUCCGCAGGCGGUUUGAUAAGUCAGGUGUGAAAUCCCACAGCUUAACUGUGGACACGCAUUUGAUACUGUUAGACUAGAGUAUGAGAGGGGUGAGAGGAAUUUCCAGUGUAGGGGUGAAAUCCGUAGAUAUAGGAAAGAACACCGGCCGCGAAGGCGUUUCACUGGCUCAUUACUGACGCUCAGGGACGAAAGCCAGGGGAGCAAACGGG